Molecule: ribosomal RNA, 425 nt
Filed under: uncultured bacterium
Lineage: Bacteria
Description: bacterial SSU rRNA
Rfam family: Bacterial small subunit ribosomal RNA
Source: RNAcentral
AUUUUGGGCAAUGGCCGAAAGGCUGACCCAGCGACGCCGCGUGCGGGAGGACGCCCUUCGGGGUGUAAACCGCUGUCAGAGGGGACGAAUGGUUCAGGCGGGAAUACUGCCUGGAUGUGACGGUACCCUCAGAGGAAGCACCGGCUAACGCUGUGCCAGCAGCCGCGGUAAUACAGAGGGUGCGAGCGUUGUUCGGAAUCACUGGGCGUAAAGCGCGCGCAGGCGGGACCUGCAAGUCGGAAGUGAAAGGCCGGGGCUCAACCCCGGAGCGGCUUUCGAGACUGCGGACCUGGAGACCAGUAGGGGUUGGUGGAAUUCCCGGUGUAGCGGUGGAAUGCGUAGAGAUCGGGAAGAACACCCGUGGCGAAGGCGGCCAACUGGGCUGGAUCUGACGCUGAGGCGCGAAAGCGUGGGGAGCAAACAGG